GUUUUAUACAAGUGUUAUGGGUUUCAAUUGAAUAUUUUCUUGAAUCUUUUGGCUCAAAGAAUAUAUUUUAGUUUUAAUAUUUCCAACUCUGAAUUAUUACGAUUUGUUCUAGGUUAUAGAUUUGUAUAUAUUUUUCAUAAGAUACCAGUACCGCGGAUUGUCAAUGUAAGCUGGGCAUGGAUCUUGCAUUUGUAAUACCUGUGAAACUACUAAUAUUCUAUCUACGUUGAAGAUGAACGAUAACAAUUACAUAAACAUCAAUGAUUUAUUGCAAUUUCUUUUGUACAGAUUAUUGAUUAUACCAGUACCGCGGAUUGUCAAUGUAAGCUGGGCAUGGAUCUUGCAUUUGUAAUACCUGUGAAACUACUAAUAUUCUAUCUACGUUGAAGAUGAACGAUAACAAUUACAUAAACAUCAAUGAUUUAUUGCAAUUUCUUUUGUACAGAUUAUUGAUUAUACCAGUACCGCGGAUUGUCAAUGUAAGCUGGGCAUGGAUCUUGCAUUUGUAAUACCUGUGAAACUACUAAUAUUCUAUCUACAUUGAAGAUGAACGAUAACAAUUACAUAAACAUCAAUGAUUUAUUGCAAUUUCUUUUGUAAAGAUUAUUGAUUAUACCAGUACCGCGGAUUGUCUGGGCAUGGAUCUUGCAUUUGUAAUACCUGUGAAACUACUAAUAUUCUAUCUACGUUGAAGAUGAACGAUAACAAUUACAUAAACAUCAAUGAUUUAUUGCAAUUUCUUUUGUAAAGAUUAUUGAUUAUACCAGUACCGCGGAUUGUCAAUGUAAGCUGGGCAUGGAUCUUGCAUUUGUAAUACCUGUGAAACUACUAAUAUUCUAUCUACAUUGAAGAUGAACGAUAACAAUUACAUAAACAUCAAUGAUUUAUUGCAAUUUCUUUUGUAAAGAUUAUUGAUUAUACCAGUACCGCGGAUUGUCUGGGCAUGGAUCUUGCAUUUGUAAUACCUGUGAAACUACUAAUAUUCUAUCUACGUUGAAGAUGAACGAUAACAAUUACAUAAACAUCAAUGAUUUAUUGCAAUUUCUUUUGUACAGAUUAUUGAUUAUACCAGUACCGCGGAUUGUCAAUGUAAGCUGGGCAUGGAUCUUGCAUUUGUAAUACCUGUGAAACUACUAAUAUUCUAUCUACAUUGAAGAUGAACGAUAACAAUUACAUAAACAUCAAUGAUUUAUUGCAAUUUCUUUUGUAAAGAUUAUUGAUUAUACCAGUACCGCGGAUUGUCUGGGCAUGGAUCUUGCAUUUGUAAUACCUGUGAAACUACUAAUAUUCUAUCUACGUUGAAGAUGAACGAUAACAAUUACAUAAACAUCAAUGAUUUAUUGCAAUUUCUUUUGUACAGAUUAUUGAUUAUACCAGUACCGCGGAUUGUCAAUGUAAGCUGGGCAUGGAUCUUGCAUUUGUAAUACCUGUGAAACUAUUAAUAUUCUAUCUACAUUGAAGAUGAACGAUAACAAUUACAUAAACAUCAAUGAUUUAUUGCAAUUUCUUUUGUAAAGAUUAUUGAUUAUACCACUACCGCGGAUUGUCAAUGUAAGCUGGGCAUGGAUCUUGCAUUUGUAAUACCUGUGAAACUACUAAUAUUCUAUCUACAUUGAAGAUGAACGAUAACAAUUACAUAAACAUCAAUGAUUUAUUGCAAUUUCUUUUGUAAAGAUUAUUGAUUAUACCAGUACCGCGGAUUGUCAAUGUAAGCUGGGCAUGGAUCUUGCAUUUGUAAUACCUGUGAAACUACUAAUAUUCUAUCUACAUUGAAGAUGAACGAUAACAAUUACAUAAACAUCAAUGAUUUAUUGCAAUUUCUUUUGUAAAGAUUAUUGAUUAUACCAGUACCGCGGAUUGUCAAUGUAAGCUGGGCAUGGAUCUUGCAUUUGUAAUACCUGUGAAACUACUAAUAUUCUAUCUACAUUGAAGAUGAACGAUAACAAUUACAUAAACAUCAAUGAUUUAUUGCAAUUUCUUUUGUAAAGAUUAUUGAUUAUACCAGUACCGCGGAUUGUCAAUGUAAGCUGGGCAUGGAUCUUGCAUUUGUAAUACCUGUGAAACUAUUAAUAUUCUAUCUACAUUGAAGAUGAACGAUAACAAUUACAUAAACAUCAAUGAUUUAUUGCAAUUUCUUUUGUAAAGAUUAUUGAUUAUACCACUACCGCGGAUUGUCAAUGUAAGCUGGGCAUGGAUCUUGCAUUUGUAAUACCUGUGAAACUACUAAUAUUCUAUCUACAUUGAAGAUGAACGAUAACAAUUACAUAAACAUCAAUGAUUUAUUGCAAUUUCUUUUGUAAAGAUUAUUGAUUAUACCAGUACCGCGGAUUGUCAAUGUAAGCUGGGCAUGGAUCUUGCAUUUGUAAUACCUGUGAAACUACUAAUAUUCUAUCUACAUUGAAGAUGAACGAUAACAAUUACAU
This 2423-nucleotide long non-coding RNA is filed under the name Rhopalosiphum maidis (corn leaf aphid). Its description in RNAcentral is "uncharacterized LOC113559878, transcript variant X7". Lineage: Eukaryota; Metazoa; Arthropoda; Insecta; Hemiptera; Aphididae. The record is from RNAcentral.